RNAcentral lists this ribosomal RNA (21 nucleotides) under Penicillium oxalicum. RNAcentral describes it as "partial 18S ribosomal RNA". The record is from RNAcentral. Lineage: Eukaryota; Fungi; Ascomycota; Eurotiomycetes; Eurotiales; Aspergillaceae. RNAcentral also lists the same sequence under 1 other name.
GUACCUGCGGAAGGAUCAUUA